Molecule: small RNA, 34 nt
Filed under: Bombyx mori (domestic silkworm)
Lineage: Eukaryota; Metazoa; Arthropoda; Insecta; Lepidoptera; Bombycidae
Description: ovarian small RNA-23175
Source: RNAcentral
UAGUUGCUUUUUUCUUACUGAUUGUCGCGGCUGA